This 918-nucleotide long non-coding RNA is filed under the name Oryza sativa Indica Group (long-grained rice). RNAcentral's name for it is "lncRNA OsLima_11g0006850". Lineage: Eukaryota; Viridiplantae; Streptophyta; Magnoliopsida; Poales; Poaceae. The record is from RNAcentral.
UUACACCUACAUUACUCAUUCAUUAAAUCCAACGGCUCAUAUUUCUCUACCCGGAUCGAACGAUCAAGAUCAGCUCCGCCUCUCUUCCGCGUGCCGAUCGCUCGUCACGGCUCCAUUUCCGCGCCUCCCCUGCUAACCCCGCGCACACAUCACGCCCUCACGGCCUCACCCCUCCCUGCCGCAUCUUCAACCCCCAACUCACGCAUCGCCCCCCUCCUCUCUCCCGGACUCCCCGUCGUGAGCCGCCAAGUCGCCGUCGCCACACGCCGCUCCUCUCCCCACUCGCCGGAGGAACUCUCUCCAAACCCUAACCCUAACCUCCUCUCUCUCCACGAAUCCGCCCUGCACGCCGUCGCGCGCCGCUCCCCUCCCCACUCGCCAGUUUCCUCCACGUCUCACCUGAUCUCCACCUUGAAAUCCGCCACCGGAGCAGCGUUGGGUCGUCGCCCUCGGUGGCUCAUGUCGCACUGUCGCCCACCUUCGCGCCGCCACCGGUCUCCUCCGCACGAUUGGAACAUGCUAAUCUUCUGCUCAAGAAAACACCAAUGUUGGAGAUGAUCACAAUUGUCCUCCACUGCUCUUGAUCAUUCAAGCAGGCACAUAUACAUACAUAUACACAAAGAUAUGCCAUGGUGUGGAUGGAAAUCGAGGAGGAAUUCUGCAUCUGCACUCUAUUGACAGAGUUCUACUUAUAUAAACAUUGCAAGUGAUGCAUCUUUCGAACGAAGGAUGGCGCUUGACCCUGGAUGAGGAGCGGAUGUCCUGCUCAACGAGAACUACCGUGGAUGCAAUUUUUCUUUCAGUUUUGGUGACUUCAGUGCUGCUAUUUUAUGAGAUUUUCCGUUGUUUGUGAUCAGUAAGCAAGCAUGUACUAAUCAGUUGGUGGCACUGAGCAUGGCUCUUUCUUUUUAGAUCAGA